This 254-nucleotide ribosomal RNA is filed under the name uncultured bacterium. RNAcentral's name for it is "partial 16S ribosomal RNA". It matches the Rfam family "Bacterial small subunit ribosomal RNA", at positions 524 to 776 of the family's 1533-position model. The record is from RNAcentral.
UACGGAGGGGGCAAGCGUUGUUCGGAAUUACUGGGCGUAAAGGGCUCGUAGGCGGCCAACUAAGUCGGAUGUGAAAUCCCCAGGCUUAACCUGGGAACUGCAUCCGAUACUGGAUGGCUUGAAUUCGGGAGGAGGAUGCAGAAUUCCAGGUGUAGCGGUGAAAUGCGUAGAUAUCUGGAGGAAUACCGGUGGCGAAGGCGGUUAGCUGGGGCAGUUGCUGACACUGAGGCGCGACAGCGUGGGGAGCAAACAGG